This 965-nucleotide small RNA is filed under the name uncultured Micromonospora sp. RNAcentral describes it as "bacterial SSU rRNA". The stretch from base 1 to 472 matches the Rfam family "Bacterial small subunit ribosomal RNA", at positions 1064 to 1533 of the family's 1533-position model. Lineage: Bacteria; Bacillati; Actinomycetota; Actinomycetes; Micromonosporales; Micromonosporaceae. The record is from RNAcentral.
GUCGUGAGAUGUUGGGUUAAGUCCCGCAACGAGCGCAACCCUUGUCCGAUGUUGCCAGCGCGUUAUGGCGGGGACUCAUCGGAGACUGCCGGGGUCAACUCGGAGGAAGGUGGGGAUGACGUCAAGUCAUCAUGCCCCUUAUGUCCAGGGCUUCACGCAUGCUACAAUGGCCGGUACAAAGGGCUGCGAUACCGUAAGGUGGAGCGAAUCCCAAAAAGCCGGUCUCAGUUCGGAUCGGGGUCUGCAACUCGACCCCGUGAAGUCGGAGUCGCUAGUAAUCGCAGAUCAGCAACGCUGCGGUGAAUACGUUCCCGGGCCUUGUACACACCGCCCGUCACGUCACGAAAGUCGGCAACACCCGAAGCCGGUGGCCCAACCCUUGUGGAGGGAGCCGUCGAAGGUGGGGCUGGCGAUUGGGACGAAGUCGUAACAAGGUAGCCGUACCGGAAGGUGCGGCUGGAUCACCUCCUUUCUAAGGAGCACCUUCCGACGAAAGUCGGUAAGGAGCCCGCGUCCCGCGAAUGUCGGGGUGGGGUGCUCGAUGGCGGAGACACUGGUGAGUCGGCGGUCGGCAACGGCUGAGCUUCUGCUAGUACAGCUACCUUUCGGGGUGGUGGGAACGUGGGGUUUGGUGCGGCUGGUUGGUUCGGCGUCAAAUGACAAGACAUCCUGUUGGGUCCUGAGGGAACAACUGUGGACACGUGAGUGUUCGGGGGUUGUUUUUUCUGGAACGGCAUUGACGAUUUCUCGUCGGAUCGCAUAACUGCGUCGUUGGGCGUGCAUGUUGUGGUCGUGGUGGCGGGGGGUUGUGUGUUUGUUGAGAAUUGCACAGUGGAUGCGAGCAUCUUUGUGGUCAAGUUGCUGAGGGCACAUGGUGGAUGCCUUGGCACCAGGAGCCGAUGAAGGACGUGGGAGGCCGCGAUAGGCCUGGGGGAGCUGUCAACCGAGCUGUGAUCCCAGGGUGU